AAGUGAAUGAGUAGUAAUAUAUAGGAGUAGUCAUAAUUGACCGUUACAAUUUAAAAUUCAAAAUCAAGCAAUUACUGACGGCCAUAAGCCGUCAUAAUUGUCCAACGGAAAUGUCCUUACUGACGGCCUGGGACCGUCAUAAAUCACAUGCGUUACUGACGGCCCAGGACCGUCAUAAAGCUUAACGGCUAGUGCGAUACUGACGGCCUGGGACCGUCUAAAAUAGGCAGUUCAAUACUGACGGCCCAGGACCGUCACUAAUGCUUAAUAGUUAAUUUUUUAAUUAUUUCCGUUCUUCAAGACUACUUACUGACGGCCAUAAGCCUU
RNAcentral lists this long non-coding RNA (327 nucleotides) under Trifolium pratense (red clover). RNAcentral describes it as "long non-coding RNA (TPRA_LNC013823)". Lineage: Eukaryota; Viridiplantae; Streptophyta; Magnoliopsida; Fabales; Fabaceae. The record is from RNAcentral.